AGUUAAAACUCCAAUGAAGGUAAUAUGUUUUGAAAGCAUAAAUAAGAGGUUAAAUUCCUCUUUUAACUU
Molecule: transfer RNA, 69 nt
Filed under: Polyphaga plancyi
Lineage: Eukaryota; Metazoa; Arthropoda; Insecta; Blattodea; Corydiidae
Description: tRNA-Ser
Rfam family: tRNA
About the family: Transfer RNA (tRNA) molecules are approximately 80 nucleotides in length. Their secondary structure includes four short double-helical elements and three loops (D, anti-codon, and T loops).
Source: RNAcentral